UUAGUGGCGGGACGGGUGAGUAACGCGUAGGAAACUGCCGUAUACGUGGGGGAUAACACUUAGAAAUAGGUGCUAAUACCGCAUAAGCGCACAGCUUCGCAUGAAGCGUGUGAAAAACUCUGGUGGUAUACGAUGGUUCCGCGUCUGAUUAGCUAGUUGGUGGGGUAAUGGCCUACCAAGGCAACGAUCAGUAGCCGGCCUGAGAGGGUGAACGGCCACAUUGGGACUGAGACACGGCCCAAACUCCUACGGAAGGCAGCAG
Molecule: ribosomal RNA, 262 nt
Filed under: uncultured bacterium
Lineage: Bacteria
Description: partial 16S ribosomal RNA
Rfam family: Bacterial small subunit ribosomal RNA
Source: RNAcentral